GCAUAUCAAUAAGCGGAGGAAAAGAAACCAACAGGGAUUGCCCUAGUAACGGCGAGUGAAGCGGCAACAGCUCACAAUUUGAAAUCUGGCUCUCGGGCCCGAGUUGUAAUUUGUAGAGGAUGCUUUUGAUGCGGUGCCUUCCGAGUUCCCUGGAACGGGACGCCAUAGAGGGUGAGAGCCCCGUCUGGUUGGAUGCCAAAUCUCUGUAAAGCUCCUUCGACGAGUCGAGUAGUUUGGGAAUGCUGCUCUAAAUGGGAGGUAUAUGUCUUCUAAAGCUAAAUACCGGCCAGAGACCGAUAGCGCACAAGUAGAGUGAUCGAAAGAUGAAAAGCACUUUGAAAAGAGAGUUAAAAAGUACGUGAAAUUGUUGAAAGGGAAGCGUUUAUGACCAGACUUGGGCUUGGUUAAUCAUCUGGGGUUCUCCCCAGUGCACUUUUCCAGUCCAGGCCAGCAUCAGUUUUCGCCGGGGGAUAAAGGCUUCGGGAAUGUGGCUCUCUCCGGGGAGUGUUAUAGCCCGUUGCGUAAUACCCUGGCGGGGACUGAGGUUCGCGCAUCUGCAAGGAUGCUGGCGUAAUGGUCAUCAACGACCCGUCUUGAAACACGGACCAAGGAGUCGUCUUCGUAUGCGAGUGUUCGGGUGUCAAACCCCUACGCGUAAUGAAAGUGAACGCAGGUGAGAGCUUCGGCGCAUCAUCGACCGAUCCUGAUGUUCUCGGAUGGAUUUGAGUAAGAGCAUACGGGGCCGGACCCGAAAGAAGGUGAACUAUGCCUGUGUAGGGUGAAGCCAGAGGAAACUCUGGUGGAGGCUCGCAGCGGUUCUGACGUGCAAAUCGAUCGUCAAACAUGGGGCAUGGGGGGCGAAAGACUAAUCGAACCUUCUAGUAGCUGGUUUCCGCCGAAGU
RNAcentral lists this ribosomal RNA (902 nucleotides) under Fusarium equiseti. RNAcentral's name for it is "LSU rRNA". It matches the Rfam family "Eukaryotic large subunit ribosomal RNA", at positions 38 to 967 of the family's 3401-position model. Lineage: Eukaryota; Fungi; Ascomycota; Sordariomycetes; Hypocreales; Nectriaceae. The record is from RNAcentral.